RNAcentral lists this unclassified non-coding RNA (2706 nucleotides) under Hevea brasiliensis (rubber tree). The record is from RNAcentral. Lineage: Eukaryota; Viridiplantae; Streptophyta; Magnoliopsida; Malpighiales; Euphorbiaceae.
AGAAAGAAAGAAAGAAAGAAAAGAUGUGCAUGAUAAUGUAUGAUCAUGCAUACAAUUUAUUGUGCAGACAAAACUAAGCAUCUAAUCUAAGCAAAAUGUUAAUCUCGUAGUCUUAUUAAUCUCUUCAUUCUGAGAAAUUAAUCAAAUUCUAUGUUUAAUGGAAUUAUGUAAGUGGGAUCAGAGAAAGAAAUAGGCCAGGUAAUGGUUACUCAUAGUUGUGUAAAUUGAAGUUGGACAUUAAUUGAAUUCUUAGAUAGUGGGAUUAGAGAAACAGAUGGGCAUAAUUUUUCAAGUUUUUUUACUUAACUUGUGUCAUCCUAGGUUGGUGUACUAAGUAGGUUUAAUGACUGAAGUUUAAUCAGAUAAAGCAUGCUAAGUUUUUUCUGAAUUUAUUAAUAAACUAUCUUUACUUACAGAAGAAAAAUGGGGAUAAUUGGUUCUGUAUCGUUAUGUACCCUUAGUGGAUUGAUCCUUCCAGCAAAAGAAAUUAUUAAAAAAACACGAAAAAAAAAAAGAAAGAAAAGCGUGUGCAUUAUUAUUAUUAUAUCUGGUGCAUGCAGGGUGAGCUCACAACUCCACUCUCUAGUCUCUAUGAGUCUAUGGAAAAGAAUAAGACAGUGUCAUGGUCUUGAUAAGAUAAAUAUCUACCCUUUUGCUUUAUUUACUAUUCAUCUUCGAUCAAUUCCAUUUGCUUUUGAUUUUAAUAAAGAGCAAAGCCAAAGGGAAAGUGCCCUAGAGCAAGUGGGAAUUGCCAUUUGCGUGUUUCUUCAUAUAUACCAAUAACCCGAUUCUCUAACUGGCCUGCUAAAGCUGAAACAAACAUUCACAAAAUGGUUAGCAACAGCUUGUUCCUAGAUUGGAAGUACUUCUGUAUUCAAAAAAGCAAAAUCAAAAGAGAAAGUAAAAGAACCCAUCAUUUGAUCAGCUUUAGUUUCAGUACACCACUCAUUCCACCAGAUUAAAAUGGAGUUUUAAACCUUCUUUGUUGUUACUGUACCUAUUUAUGGCCAAAACAAGAAACAACUUGCUCACACUUGGAUCUGGGAUACUUAUAGCUAAUUCCAGGUAGCUAGUCUUUAACAUUUGUUUAAUUAAUUAGUCUAUUUGCUAAUACAAGCCAUAUAUACCUUUUUCUUUUAACUCUUCAAUCAACAAUUGGCAUACACAUGAUUUCCCUUUUAUCCCAGAAAAAGAGAGCAAAAAUGAAAUAUAACAGCCACACAGCAAAAUGAGAAAAAGAAACCCUAGAUGUAUGGAUAUAUAGUUGAGGAACUUUAGAAAUCAACAAGCAUACAAAUUCAAUUUGAACAUUGAUCAAAUGGGUAUAUGUAUAUAAAUAUAACUUUGCUAAUAAGGCAAAACAAUUAUUUGAUCAAAAUAUCACACUAGCAAUUAGUAGCAAAAUCUUGGAAACUUGGACACUGGCUAGCUAGCUAACACAUAAUGACCAGUCUUUGUUUUCUCAUAAUCACACAUAAAGAACUUCUUAUUAUGAAGUUACCCUGCGAAUUAUGAACUAUUGGGCACUUUGUUCCAUUUUCUUUUGAUGUAAAGCUUGUUCUGGACAAGGCUUCUAGUACUAUAGGCAAUCUAGCAGGGCUCUGAUACCAUAACCACAGGUCAUAGGAAAUAUCCAUAAGACAAGCUUGUUACAAGAUGGAUGGGCAUCAUAGGCAACUCCUAUGAGAUGUCAGGUGUUAUUAUAAUUCAUAAUUAUUUGAGUUGAAAAUUUAUUUCUCAUCAGAUCCCUCGUUACAAGAGUAGUCAAAAUUAAAACCAGUCUCUCAGAAAAAGAAGAAGAAAAAAACACAUGAGAUCAGUGGUUGUGGAAAUUAUACCCAAAAGCAAACACUGUAUAUACAUAGGUAAGCAUCACAUCAUGAAAAACCCUAAAAACCAAGGGAAUGAUAUUCCAAAGAAGAAGAGAUAAGGUACCUUUAGAGGUUUAUAGACCAGAGAACCUGAAUCUUUUCGAAAUUACAAUGCUGUCCUAGUAGCUAUGUCUAUUAAUUAUAACUAAUUAAUAGGUAGGCUUCAAUAAUAUUCCAUACCUUGCAAGAAGAAGAAAAAAAAUUCCUGCAAAUACACCAUGGAUGACAUAUAUGAGAAUAUGCAUGGCUCCUCAUACGCCAUCCACGGAGGCCAUCGAUUCUCCGGUGGGCUCUGCAAAUGGCAUACAGGGAGCCAGGCACAUACAAUAAAUAUGUAUGCUUGAUGUUAAAGCAUGCGUAUGCAAAAAUAAACAUACAAGUAUACCUGUAGUAUAUGUAUGUGAUGCUUAUAUAUGCAGGGGAGUGAUAUAUUUUAUGUGAUGAUGUGCGUAUGUAUUAGAGUAUGGGCAUGAAAUUGAGGUGCAUAUUAAGUAAAGAAUUUUCAAGCUAGCUUCCACGGAGAUAGUCUUGUCCAUGUUAGAAGCUAAGUAACUACAAGAGAGGGUGUGUAGAAGGAGUAUGGAUUAGGGAGAGAGGAAGACGGAGGGAUUGAAGGGAAAGAGAAAGGAGGAGAGAGUGGUAUUUAUGGAGAGGGAGAGGAGAGAGAUCUGUGGAAAAUAGGAACUGAGUCAUAAUCAAAUACCUAGAGGGGUGUUUCAAAGCCCCACAAAACCCUUUUGAAUUGGCAUAAAACAAGCAAACCAGUGGCUAAACUUGAGGAAGGGGUGGCUAAUUUUUGUGGGGUUUGUAUGUAGUAUUUUGAGAGGGAAAGAAG